This 422-nucleotide long non-coding RNA is filed under the name Pan troglodytes (chimpanzee). RNAcentral's name for it is "long non-coding RNA NONPTRT005110". The record is from RNAcentral. Lineage: Eukaryota; Metazoa; Chordata; Mammalia; Primates; Hominidae.
GUCCUCGCGGAGCUGCUCCGACCUCCUGCCGGCCCUCUGCGCGCCCCGGCCGCCGGAGGAUGCUGCGUGGGCUCGGUUGUCCUGCCAUAAGUAGUAGAAAGUGCCCAGGAUCCAGGCUACGGUCAGGAUGGCGAUGGCAUUGGCGCGGAUCUUCCUCAUGGAAUGGACUCCAGCAGCAUCACAGAAUCAAAGCAACACCUAAGGAAUUCACUGUUUCUUCACAUACUUUGAACUGUGAAAACAAGAGUCAUCAUAAUAGCUGCAGUUUACUCAGUACCUACCAGGUGCCAGCCACUGUGCCACCACUUCACCUAUACUGUCUCUAAAGCCCCUACAACCCUGAGCUAAGGAUGAUCAUAUCCCCAACUGCAGAUGAUGACACUGAGGCUCAAAGGCUACUCAACUUGCCUGGAAUCCUACAG